RNAcentral lists this non-coding RNA (21 nucleotides) under Rattus norvegicus (Norway rat). Lineage: Eukaryota; Metazoa; Chordata; Mammalia; Rodentia; Muridae. The record is from RNAcentral.
UUUAUGCCUGGAUGGACAAGU